CGCGGUUAUACAAAUUAUAUAAAUAAAUUUUAUUAUUUUGUAGUUAAAUGUUAAAUGUAAAUAAAAUAUUAUUUUUAAAGGUGAAAUUUAUUAAAAUAAUUUAAAUUUAUUUAAUUAUUUUUUGAAGCUAUUAAAUUUUAUUAAUAAACUAGGAUUAGAUACCCUAUUAUUUAAAACUUAAAUUAAAAUAAAAAAUUAGGUAGUAAUAGAUAUAAUCUUGAAACUUAAAAAAUUUGGCGGUAUUUUAGUCUAAUUAGAGGAAUCUGUUCCGUAAUCGAUAAUCCACGAUAAAUUUUACAUAAUUUUAUUUAAUUUGUAUAUCGUCGUUAUAAGAAAAUUUUAUAAGAAUAAAAAUUUUCUAAAAUUUUAAUUAAAAUUUAUUUCAGAUCAAGGUGCAAUUUAUAAUUAUGAGGAAAUGGAUUACAAUAAAUUUAUUUGAAUUGGAUAAUAAGAUGAAUUUUUUAUUUGAAAAUGGAUUUAAUAGUAAUUUAAAUUAUAUAAUUUUUUUGAUUUUAGCUCUAAAAUAUGUACAUAUCGCCCGUCACUCUCUUUAUUUAAAAAGAGAUAAGUCGUAACAAAGUAGAUGUACUGGAAAGUGUAUCUAGAAUGAUUUU
Molecule: ribosomal RNA, 614 nt
Filed under: Neohermes californicus
Lineage: Eukaryota; Metazoa; Arthropoda; Insecta; Megaloptera; Corydalidae
Description: 12S ribosomal RNA
Source: RNAcentral